This 1045-nucleotide long non-coding RNA is filed under the name Manacus vitellinus (golden-collared manakin). Its description in RNAcentral is "lncRNA (ENSMVIG00005001639.1)". Lineage: Eukaryota; Metazoa; Chordata; Aves; Passeriformes; Pipridae. The record is from RNAcentral.
GAGGUGAGAAUUGCCUCUUAAAUGCCAGCAAGCACGAAGAGAGCAAACCCAUAUAUUUCCCCUCCAAAUCUUUGAUUUGAGAAAUUUCAGCCAGCCCAGCUACCGUCAAUUUUUCGCUGUCCAGGACUGUAAACUUCAGAGCUAAAAGCAUUUAAUUGAGAAGACAGCAUCGCGCCUGGUGUAACUCACUUGUACAGUUUGCAUUUUCAACCUGAAAACAGAUACAACAGAGGGUAGCGAGUACUCGGCAGACCCUCCCAGCACACGCAGGAUAACCAGACCCACCUCUCUUGGCUGUACAGAAGUUCCUCACUCACAGGAGGAUGUUUUGACCCAGGCUCCAGCACCCUGCAGAGAACAGCAGCAGAUUUUGGAAGGACUUCACCAUCAAGCUCAUACCCAGAGCUCUCAACCAGCCCUCACAGGUGUUGGCACAAAAAAGGUGACGAGGGUAGCAAGGAGCGUGUCUGUACGCAGUAUGUACCCUCUUACCCGAUGGCAGCUCUGGCUUUCACAAGGGCUGACAGCCUUAACAUGGCAGGAAGAAAUCAAAGAUGCAAAGCGGAAAAAAAAAUUAGCCUGAAGUUCACCAGGCAAAGAUCCCUUCCACCACACCCUACUUUUGAAUGGACCUGAAAUCCUCAUGGAGAUUUCUGUUUAACAACAACAUUAUCUUAAAAUUACAUAAUGCCUUAUCGAGCCAGCACAUAUUAGUGCCCCAGCAAUAACAAUGAUUUAACUGCUACUGUGGGAAUUUCGUUAGAAGAGAGCUGGAGCUGACUGAGCACUGACCCGUGUCACCUUGCAGAGGGGCGAAGGGAGGAAAUGCAGAUGCUCGGGAGCAGCUGAACCACAGCUCCCACCUGGGCCUGUUUGGCCAGAGGGGCUGUUCCUUUGCACAGACCCCAGAGCAUGGGUUUGAUCUUUUGCAGGGGAGAGCACAAAAGAGAACCCUGUUGUGCAUGACCCUGAUGUAAAUGGCAGCAAGUAUGACCUCAGUGUCUUGUUUCCCUGGAUCUUUAGCCCUUGAAAAGCCCUCCUUUGC